GUGGUUUAAUUCGAUGCAACGCGAAGAACCUUACCUGGUCUUGACAUCCACGGAAGAAUUCAGAGAUGGAUUUGUGCCUUCGGGAACCGUGAGACAGGUGCUGCAUGGCUGUCGUCAGCUCGUGUUGUGAAAUGUUGGGUUAAGUCCCGCAACGAGCGCAACCCUUAUCCUUUGUUGCCAGCGGUCCGGCCGGGAACUCAAAGGAGACUGCCAGUGAUAAACUGGAGGAAGGUGGGGAUGACGUCAAGUCAUCAUGGCCCUUACGACCAGGGCUACACACGUGCUACAAUGGCGCAUACAAAGAGAAGCGACCUCGCGAGAGCAAGCGGACCUCAUAAAGUGCGUCGUAGUCCGGAUUGGAGUCUGCAACUCGACUCCAUGAAGUCGGAAUCGCUAGUAAUCGUGGAUCAGAAUGCCACGGUGAAUACGUUCCCGGGCCUUGUACACACCGCCCGUCACACCAUGGGAGUGGGUUGCAAAAGAAGUAGGUAGCUUAACCUUCGGGAGGGCGCUUACCACUUUGUGAUUCAUGACUGGGGUGAAGUCGUAACAAGGUAACCGUAGGGGAACCUGC
Molecule: ribosomal RNA, 574 nt
Filed under: Salmonella enterica subsp. enterica serovar Johannesburg
Lineage: Bacteria; Pseudomonadati; Pseudomonadota; Gammaproteobacteria; Enterobacterales; Enterobacteriaceae
Description: bacterial SSU rRNA
Rfam family: Bacterial small subunit ribosomal RNA
Source: RNAcentral